UAGGGAAUCUACCGCAAUGGGCGAAAGCCUGACGGAGCGACACCGCGUGGUGGAUGAAGCUUUUCGGAGUGUAAACACCUUUUCUCAGGGAAGAAAAUCUGACGGUACCUGAGGAAUAAGCACCGGCUAAUUACGUGCCAGCAGCCGCGGUAAUACGUAAGGUGCAAGCGUUAUCCGGAAUCAUUGGGCGUAAAGCGUCCGUAGGUGGCGUAACAAGUCGAUUAUAAAAUACCGGGGCUCAACUCCGGUGCCGUAGUCGAAACUGUUAUGCUAGAGGGAUGGAGAGGUAUGUGGAAUGAUGCAAGUAGGGGUAAAAUCCGUAGAUAUGCACCAGAACACCAAAAGCGAAGGCAGCAUACUGGACAUCACCUGACACUAAGGGACGAAAGCGUGGGGAGCGAAAGGG
This 406-nucleotide ribosomal RNA is filed under the name uncultured bacterium. RNAcentral describes it as "bacterial SSU rRNA". It matches the Rfam family "Bacterial small subunit ribosomal RNA", at positions 355 to 776 of the family's 1533-position model. The record is from RNAcentral.